Diorhabda carinulata is the source of this 860-nucleotide long non-coding RNA. RefSeq lists it as uncharacterized. The transcript is spliced from 2 exons. NCBI's taxonomy places the organism in Eukaryota, Metazoa, Arthropoda, Insecta, Coleoptera, Chrysomelidae. The record is from RefSeq and is a predicted model, not a curated record.
AACUAGGUUAUGUUAAACAAGUAAGUGUAUGGCGUGUAACUACGAGAAAUAUCUGGUAUUUGUACAGUGUGUGGCGAUUUAAAUUCGGUAUUAAAAUCAUAACAGAUUAUUUUUUUAAAUCAGUGGAUUGUAAAUAUUGUUCAAGGUUUCUAAAUUUGGGACAUAUAUAAUGUAAUAAUAUUGAGUCUAAAGUAUGUCUAAAAUGAGUCGACCAAAAAGAGGAUAUAACUAUUUUGAGAAUACUUCAUUAGAUCGAGCUGCAGAAGCUGUGCGGGAUGGGAUAUUUAGCGACAAGACGAACAAAGAUUUGGUGUUCCUAAAUCGUCAAUACAAAGGAAAGUAAAAAAUAAGUAACAAAAGCCAAAUAGCACCCAUUUAUGUCAGCCCCUAGCUUUUUUUAGCCCAUUAAAAACAAUUUGGGAAAGGGAGCUGACAGACAGACAAAAAAGAUUUUGUUUUAGUUGAAUUUAUUUAUGAUGCUUGAACAAAAAAAAACAAUAAAAAAAGACUUCAUAGGGAAAAUCAUACGUGAGGAAAACGACCACUCUUAUUUCAAAGUCAGUUUUAUGCGAAACCAUAUAGGGUUCAAAAAUGUCUUUGUUUUUCCUAUUAUAGAGGACAUUGACAACAAUGUUUCGGCAGAUCGCUUAAAACAACUUGUUAAGCCCACUUGCUAGUCCAGAGGAAAAUAUACUUUUAAUUUAUAGAAAAUAAUUUCAUUUGUAUUUAUAAUAUUUAUAUUUUCUUUUUUAUGUCAAGUUUUUAUAUAUUUGUAACAUUUUUUGUUAAUAAAGCCUUAAAAAACUAGUUUUCUAAGCUUAAAUAUUUGUUGUUUGAAUUGUAAAUAAAGUAACAGUUUA